This 27-nucleotide non-coding RNA is filed under the name Mus musculus (house mouse). The record is from RNAcentral. Lineage: Eukaryota; Metazoa; Chordata; Mammalia; Rodentia; Muridae. RNAcentral also lists the same sequence under 1 other name.
UGCAGUGACCAGUUCUAGCUCAAAGUA